This 904-nucleotide ribosomal RNA is filed under the name Psychrobacter sp. 22F07-Zb4-1. Its description in RNAcentral is "bacterial SSU rRNA". It matches the Rfam family "Bacterial small subunit ribosomal RNA", at positions 564 to 1510 of the family's 1533-position model. The record is from RNAcentral. Lineage: Bacteria; Pseudomonadati; Pseudomonadota; Gammaproteobacteria; Moraxellales; Moraxellaceae.
AGCGAGCGUAGGUGGCUUGAUAAGUCAGAUGUGAAAGCCCCGGGCUUAACCUGGGAACGGCAUCUGAUACUGUUAGGCUAGAGUAGGUGAGAGGAAGGUAGAAUUCCAGGUGUAGCGGUGAAAUGCGUAGAGAUCUGGAGGAAUACCGAUGGCGAAGGCAGCCUUCUGGCAUCAUACUGACACUGAGGUUCGAAAGCGUGGGUAGCAAACAGGAUUAGAUACCCUGGUAGUCCACGCCGUAAACGAUGUCUACUAGUCGUUGGGUCCCUUGAGGACUUAGUGACGCAGCUAACGCAAUAAGUAGACCGCCUGGGGAGUACGGCCGCAAGGUUAAAACUCAAAUGAAUUGACGGGGGCCCGCACAAGCGGUGGAGCAUGUGGUUUAAUUCGAUGCAACGCGAAGAACCUUACCUGGUCUUGACAUAUCUAGAAUCCUGCAGAGAUGCGGGAGUGCCUUCGGGAAUUAGAAUACAGGUGCUGCAUGGCUGUCGUCAGCUCGUGUCGUGAGAUGUUGGGUUAAGUCCCGCAACGAGCGCAACCCUUGUCCUUAGUUACCAGCGGUUUGGCCGGGAACUCUAAGGAUACUGCCAGUGACAAACUGGAGGAAGGCGGGGACGACGUCAAGUCAUCAUGGCCCUUACGACCAGGGCUACACACGUGCUACAAUGGUAGGUACAGAGGGCAGCUACACAGCGAUGUGAUGCGAAUCUCAAAAAGCCUAUCGUAGUCCAGAUUGGAGUCUGCAACUCGACUCCAUGAAGUAGGAAUCGCUAGUAAUCGCGGAUCAGAAUGCCGCGGUGAAUACGUUCCCUAGGCCUUGUUCACACCGCCCGUCACACCAACAGAGUAAACACUCCAGUAAGAUCUUGGCUCAGCAAGUCGUAACAAGGUACCCCCUAGAGUG